GGAGAUAUUGAAGUAGCGAAAGAUUUCUACAACAAAGGGAUGGAUGGGCAACCUAAAUCCAACUUGAAACACUUCUUCAUACAAGUCGAUCCUAUUAGGGAAAGGAUCACCGAUCUUACCACUGGGCUCCGAAGGCUCUAACUCAUAUGAAGAAGGAAUCCCAUAUUGGGCCCGUAUUAGACUUAGAUCUCCUGAGUCCAACACAGAUCCAAUGGUGCUGGGUACGAAAAGUGGUCUGCCCUUGUGCCCAACAUCGGAACCUACGGGGAUUCCAUCUAAAGUAGAGGAGGACCCAGAAGACCAACCCUCACUAGAAUCCUCAAAACCAGCCAUUAAAGGGAAGA
RNAcentral lists this long non-coding RNA (344 nucleotides) under Elaeis guineensis (African oil palm). Its description in RNAcentral is "long non-coding RNA (EGUI_LNC008306)". Lineage: Eukaryota; Viridiplantae; Streptophyta; Magnoliopsida; Arecales; Arecaceae. The record is from RNAcentral.